RNAcentral lists this unclassified non-coding RNA (216 nucleotides) under Hevea brasiliensis (rubber tree). Lineage: Eukaryota; Viridiplantae; Streptophyta; Magnoliopsida; Malpighiales; Euphorbiaceae. The record is from RNAcentral.
GUACUGAUCUCGGGUAGCUUCCAAGUCUUGUUUCCAAGCACAAUCAUUUCCAGAAUUAUUGCUUCCAUUUGCCUCCUCAAACUGCUUUGCUCGAGCCUUGGCAACUUCAGAAUCCUUGAUGGCUGAUUCUUUCGAUUCCCUCAGUAAUUGCAGCUUCUUGGUCAGGUCAUCAACCGCUCUUUUAGUAUUUUCAAGCUCAACAAGCGCUUGAGAUUU